GGGCAGGUACCCAAGUGGCCAACGGGGGCAGACUGUAAAUCUGCUGGCUUAUGUCUUCCAAGGUUCGAAUCCUUGCCUGCCCACCA
Molecule: transfer RNA, 86 nt
Filed under: Nitrospira sp.
Lineage: Bacteria; Pseudomonadati; Nitrospirota; Nitrospiria; Nitrospirales; Nitrospiraceae
Also listed under: 7 other names
Description: tRNA-Tyr
Rfam family: tRNA
About the family: Transfer RNA (tRNA) molecules are approximately 80 nucleotides in length. Their secondary structure includes four short double-helical elements and three loops (D, anti-codon, and T loops).
Source: RNAcentral